This 927-nucleotide ribosomal RNA is filed under the name uncultured organism. RNAcentral describes it as "bacterial SSU rRNA". It matches the Rfam family "Bacterial small subunit ribosomal RNA", at positions 1 to 917 of the family's 1533-position model. The record is from RNAcentral.
UUGGAUCCAGACUUUGAUUCUGGCUCAGGAUGAACGCUAGCUACAGGCUUAACACAUGCAAGUCGAGGGGAAACGAUAGAGAAAGCUUGCUUUUUCUAGGCGUCGACCGGCGCACGGGUGAGUAACGCGUAUCCAACCUGCCCACCACUUGGGGAUAACCUUGCGAAAGUAAGACUAAUACCCAAUGAUAUCUCAAGAAGACAUCUGAAUGAGAUUAAAGAUUUAUCGGUGAUGGAUGGGGAUGCGUCUGAUUAGCUUGUUGGCGGGGUAACGGCCCACCAAGGCGACGAUCAGUAGGGGUUCUGAGAGGAAGGUCCCCCACAUUGGAACUGAGACACGGUCCAAACUCCUACGGGAGGCAGCAGUGAGGAAUAUUGGUCAAUGGGCGAGAGCCUGAACCAGCCAAGUAGCGUGCAGGAAGACGGCCCUAUGGGUUGUAAACUGCUUUUAUAAGGGAAUAAAGUGAGCCUCGUGAGGUUUUUCGCAUGUACCUUAUGAAUAAGGACCGGCUAAUUCCGUGCCAGCAGCCGCGGUAAUACGGAAGGUCCGGGCGUUAUCCGGAUUUAUUGGGUUUAAAGGGAGCGUAGGCCGGAGAUUAAGCGUGUUGUGAAAUGUAGAUGCUCAACAUCUGCACUGCAGCGCGAACUGGUUUCCUUGAGUACGCACAAAGUGGGCGGAAUUCGUGGUGUAGCGGUGAAAUGCUUAGAUAUCACGAAGAACUCCGAUUGCGAAGGCAGCUCACUGGAGCGCAACUGACGCUGAAGCUCGAAAGUGCGGGUAUCGAACAGGAUUAGAUACCCUGGUAGUCCGCACGGUAAACGAUGGAUGCCCGCUGUUGGUCUGAAUAGGUCAGCGGCCAAGCGAAAGCAUUAAGCAUCCCACCUGGGGAGUACGCCGGCAACGGUGCAACUCAAAUGAAUUGACGGA